This 64-nucleotide transfer RNA is filed under the name Phrixothrix hirtus. RNAcentral describes it as "tRNA-His". Lineage: Eukaryota; Metazoa; Arthropoda; Insecta; Coleoptera; Phengodidae. The record is from RNAcentral.
AUUUAAAUAGUUUAUUAAAAUUUUAGUUUGUGAUUCUAAAGAUUAACUUUUUGUUAUUUAAAUG